GGUGGCUCAGUGGUAGAGUGCUUGCUUUGCAUGCAUGAGACCCUGGGUUCAAUUCCUCAGCACCA
This is a non-coding RNA of Dipodomys ordii (Ord's kangaroo rat), 65 nucleotides long. The record is from Rfam. Lineage: Eukaryota; Metazoa; Chordata; Mammalia; Rodentia; Heteromyidae.